RNAcentral lists this ribosomal RNA (497 nucleotides) under uncultured bacterium. RNAcentral's name for it is "partial 16S ribosomal RNA". It matches the Rfam family "Bacterial small subunit ribosomal RNA", at positions 28 to 507 of the family's 1533-position model. The record is from RNAcentral.
GAUGAACGCUGGCGGCGUGCCUAGUACAUGCAAGUCGAGCGAACAGAUAAGGAGCUUGCUCCUUUGACGUUAGCGGCGGACGGGUGAGUAACACGUGGAUAACCUACCUAUAAGACUGGGAUAACUUCGGGAAACCGGAGCUAAUACCGGAUAACAUAUUGAACCGCAUGGUUCAAUAGUGAAAGGCGGCUUUGCUGUCACUUAUAGAUGGAUCCGCGCCGUAUUAGCUAGUUGGUAAGGUAACGGCUUACCAAGGCAACGAUACGUAGCCGACCUGAGAGGGUGAUCGGCCACACUGGAACUGAGACACGGUCCAGACUCCUACGGGAGGCAGCAGUAGGGAAUCUGCCGCAAUGGGCGAAAGCCUGACGGAGCAACGCCGCGUGAGUGAUGAAGGUCUUCGGAUCGUAAAACUCUGUUAUCAGGGAAGAACAAAUGUGUAAGUAACUGUGCACAUCUUGACGGUACCUGAUCAGAAAGCCACGGCUAACUACGUG